This 1101-nucleotide long non-coding RNA is filed under the name Equus asinus (donkey). Its description in RNAcentral is "lncRNA (ENSEASG00005024413.1)". The record is from RNAcentral. Lineage: Eukaryota; Metazoa; Chordata; Mammalia; Perissodactyla; Equidae.
UGGCAUCCCACCACUGAGAGGGGCAUCUUCAGCCCUGAGGAGGAGGUGUCCCCACAGCAAGCUUGAGGACAGAUGAGACUGUGGGCCCUUGCUAACAAGCCCUUGGUUGCCUCCUGACUCAACCUCCUGCCUAUGUUCCAUUUGGAAUUUCAGAUUCUAGACACUAAACAUUUGAUGCUGAGGACAUCAAUUCAGAGGCUGGAGUCCACAGGUCCUAGCUUGCCCCCUGAGGCCUGUUGUUACCUGACCUCCACCGAUUGCUCCAGCUUCGUGGCCUGACAUGGCCCCUCUCGGACUAGACACUCGGCAACAUCUCAAACAAGUGGCUCCCCGGAAGUCCGCCCCUUGUGUCUCCGCCCCUGUCCCUCAGCACCUACCCCAGCCCCAUCCAUCUAUCCCUGACAAGCAGCCCCUGAUAUCUCAAGACUUAACUCAAACAUCACCUCCUUUGUGAAGUUUCCCCAGAUAGAGCUAACCCCGCCCUUUUUUUGUGACCUCACUGUGCCAGGAUGAGCGAGAAGACAGGAGGGGGAAGGAGAGAUUGAUAAAUGGAGAGGCCAUCAAAGAGGACAGCUAUUUGCCAUGCAAAAGGGUGUUCAUGAAAAUACUCCAGCUCCUCUACCAUCGCCAUUAUUUCAUAAGAGUAAGGCCACAUGGUGGGGACAACUUUUGAGACCUGUCCUAGAGUGUGAGCUCUAGUAGGGUGCCUGGCAGCCUGUGAGAACACAGCUCUAGCUGCUGCGGUUUCCCUGGAACCAGAACCCUACGGAUGCCGUUGAGAUGCUGGCUGAGCCGUUCUUCCACCGCCUGCCUCGGUUCCACGUCGCUGAGUCCCACCUCCUGGGAGCCGUGGAUGCUGAGAAUAUCAUCAGGAGACCCUCAGCAUUGUGCUGAGUUUAGAUUCACCAGGGACCUUCUCAGCUGGCUGUGUGAAGAGGCAGCUGAAAGUCUGGCCAGAGGACAACAGUCAUCUUGACAAACCAAAACACGUCCCUCCCCGCCAACACAAGUUUGCCCACCUCCCACUGGGAGCCACUCAUGUAUGGUUUGCAGAUGAAACCUGGGCAGACAGACACAAAGCCAUCCCCGAGCUUGUAGCAG